UACGGAGGAUCCGAGCGUUAUCCGGAUUUAUUGGGUUUAAAGGGUGCGCAGGCGGGGGAUUAAGUCGGCGGUGAAAUUUUGCAGCUCAACUGUAAAAGUGCCUUCGAAACUGGUUUCCUUGAGUGUAGAUGAAGUAGGCGGAAUUUGUGGUGUAGCGGUGAAAUGCUUAGAUAUCACGAGGAACUCCGAUUGCGCAGGCAGCUUACUAAACUACUACUGACGCUCAGGCACGAAGGCGUGGGGAUCAAACAGGAUUAGAUACCCGUGUAGUCCCUGA
RNAcentral lists this ribosomal RNA (277 nucleotides) under uncultured prokaryote. RNAcentral describes it as "partial 16S ribosomal RNA". It matches the Rfam family "Bacterial small subunit ribosomal RNA", at positions 524 to 800 of the family's 1533-position model. The record is from RNAcentral.